AACUGGAUGAUCCCAAGGAUUCCUUUACCACCCCUGUGUGUCCCUUUCUGACCCUUCCCCAGGAGUGGAGCACCCCCAGCCCUCCCUGAGGGAUGAGCACUCCCAGGGAAGAGCAGAACUUUCCCUGCUGACCUCAGGCAUUGCAGACAGACCCUACAAAGGCCUUGGGACCCGGGAUUUAAAUCCUGCAGGGAUAUCAGCCUCUCUUUUCUGGCUCCAAGGCUUUCUGAGCAGGGGAGUGGCUGCACUCGGUGCCCUGGGAACCCCGAGCACAAGCUGCAGUUUUUUAGCAUCUCUUGCAAAGUCUGAAUUUUCCCUCUGUUUUUCCCUCUGUUGCUUCCCUGCCCAUGACCUAAAUUAUGAGGAGAAGAUAUUAAAGCCUGGAUUUUAACUUAAGAGCUGACUACACCCACAGGAGAAAUUAAAGCCCAGUGUUGUUUUUUGAUUGAAGGCUGAUACCCCAAGCACAUUUCCAUGGCAGGGGGUUGGAACAAGAUGGUUUUUUAAGGUCCUACCUGGUGCUAAAAUGGGACUGAGCACAGAAGGACAGGAGGGAACAUGAACUCUACAUGAACACAAUUGCUCCUCUUCCCAAGCCCCUCUUUACGCUACUCUACCCCAGCGUAGUGACAGUGAGCUCUGGGGAGAGGUUCUAGGUUGGGAAACAGCCCUGGAAACACAAAGUCACCCAAGUCUGCAUUUCCCAUCGCUGACAUCUGGAUCAGAAAUUGCCAAUUUCCAGCCUGUGAACUGCAGGGACUGCAAAGGGACUCGGUGUGGCUGCAGAACAGUUUGGCACUGAAAGCACAGACACUGAGCUUGACCAGGAAAGCAGAGCAGGGCUGAGCUGGGAAUGAUUCCAGGGCCAUGGAGAGCUUUGUGCUGAGACCCUGCUGUGGAUGUGGGGCCGUGCCCGAGGCCCCUGGCUGCAGCACUUGCAGGGAGCACAUGGCAGGGACUCUGCCCUUCCAUCAGGAGCUGCCAUGAGCUGCAGCAGAGUAUUUUUAGCUGCUGUCCUGCUGGCUUAGGCGCUGCUGAUGUUAUGGAGUGUGGCAAGGCAGAGAACUGUGGGGUUAUUUGAGUUUCAAGGGAUCUCUUGUCUAUAAUGUGGUGUGCUCCUGCUGCGUGGAGAGGCUGGGAGCUGGGGGAGCUGGGGGAGAUGUGGGAGCUUUUGGAGUUCUAGGGGUUGUGGGAGGUGUGGGAGCUUUGGGAGACAUGGGAGAUGUGGGAGCUGUGGGAGUUGUAGGAGAUGUGGGAGCUCUGGGAGACGUGGGAGCUCUGGGAGCUCUGGGAGCUUUGGGAGAUGUGGGAGCUCUGGGAGAUGUGGGAGCU
Long non-coding RNA from Passer domesticus (house sparrow), 1332 nucleotides. RefSeq lists it as uncharacterized. Lineage: Eukaryota; Metazoa; Chordata; Aves; Passeriformes; Passeridae. The record is from RefSeq and is a predicted model, not a curated record. The transcript has 3 exons.